This 643-nucleotide ribosomal RNA is filed under the name uncultured Pseudomonadaceae bacterium. Its description in RNAcentral is "SSU rRNA". It matches the Rfam family "Bacterial small subunit ribosomal RNA", at positions 138 to 776 of the family's 1533-position model. The record is from RNAcentral. Lineage: Bacteria; Pseudomonadati; Pseudomonadota; Gammaproteobacteria; Pseudomonadales; Pseudomonadaceae.
GGGGGAUAACGUCCGGAAACGGGCGCUAAUACCGCAUACGUCCUGAGGGAGAAAGUGGGGGAUCUUCGGACCUCACGCUAUCAGAUGAGCCUAGGUCGGAUUAGCUAGUUGGUGGGGUAAAGGCCUACCAAGGCGACGAUCCGUAACUGGUCUGAGAGGAUGAUCAGUCACACUGGAACUGAGACACGGUCCAGACUCCUACGGGAGGCAGCAGUGGGGAAUAUUGGACAAUGGGCGAAAGCCUGAUCCAGCCAUGCCGCGUGUGUGAAGAAGGUCUUCGGAUUGUAAAGCACUUUAAGUUGGGAGGAAGGGCAGUAAGUUAAUACCUUGCUGUUUUGACGUUACCAACAGAAUAAGCACCGGCUAACUUCGUGCCAGCAGCCGCGGUAAUACGAAGGGUGCAAGCGUUAAUCGGAAUUACUGGGCGUAAAGCGCGCGUAGGUGGUUCAGCAAGUUGGAUGUGAAAUCCCCGGGCUCAACCUGGGAACUGCAUCCAAAACUACUGAGCUAGAGUACGGUAGAGGGUGGUGGAAUUUCCUGUGUAGCGGUGAAAUGCGUAGAUAUAGGAAGGAACACCAGUGGCGAAGGCGACCACCUGGACUGAUACUGACACUGAGGUGCGAAAGCGUGGGGAGCAAACAGG